This 1628-nucleotide long non-coding RNA is filed under the name Helianthus annuus (common sunflower). RNAcentral describes it as "hypothetical non coding rna". Lineage: Eukaryota; Viridiplantae; Streptophyta; Magnoliopsida; Asterales; Asteraceae. The record is from RNAcentral.
UGGUUUUAAUGAUUUUGGUACAUCAAUAUUUCACCGUUUCACAACAUUGUAAUUGAAUCUAUAUAUCUAAUAAAGCAAACCAUUGGGGGACACAUGUCACCCUAUGGUUGAUGCCAAAUAAGAAGCCACAUCAGCAUACAUGUGGCAUAGCUCAUAGGGGAUGAUUGAAUCUGGCUUCUCACAUACGUUAUACUCUCUCUCUCUCUCAUUCUCUCAUUCUCUCAUAACCCUAAUUCAGUCUCUCUCUUCUCUUCUCUUCUCUUCUCUGGCGAACACGGCGAUGAAACAACAAAUCAUGGAGAUCAAAUCGGCGAUUUAGUGAACUUGGCUUCUAUGUUACGCUUUCUCUCAACUCUCUCUCUCAUUCUCACAAAAGUCUCCAAACGAUUGCUGCGAAACCCUAACAAGCGAUUCGUAUAGUCAUCGACCCUAAUCAACGAUUCCUCUAAGCAUGGAGUGGUUGUGUCUAGCGGCGGUGGUUGUGUCUAGCGGCGGCAAUGGUGGUCUAAUGUUGAUGGUGGAGGAGUCGCGGCGGCGGUGGUUUUGUUUUACUUGAAUCUUCCUCUCAAUAUUUCCCUACGCCUUCUAAGAUGUUGAAAGAAGAUGCAAAUGGUGGAGAAUUUAUCCAAUUCUUCAGGUUGGGAGAUGAGUUCAGGUCAUAUGCAUAAAGAGAGAGAUGUGAGAUCAGGGAGAUCUCUAUAGCCCGCUGACCGGUGUAAGGCGACUCAAGACAAGUGUGAGAAAGUUUUGCAGGAUGCCCUAUCAGAUGAAGAUGAUUCAUGUGAUGUGCACAUUUUAAAAGCAACAUUUAGAUGUGGUUUUGUGGGGUCAUGAUAGGAAUAGCAGAACAGGGGUAUUCAGUCCUCCUACUGACCUUAUUUUUCUUGGAGGUGUUUGCCUCACCGGUUUUGUACCUUAUACUCUUUUCAAUUUCAUACGUACAAAUGGAACUUCUCUGGCCUGAGUUUGGAUAAAAGGCUUGACUUUUUUGAGUCAAACUGGGAGUUCUUCGCUGGUUUCGGAUCUCCUUGUGUUCUGGCCAUUUUCUUUUUUUCUCCUUUAGUGAGUUAUGGAGUAAUGGCAGUACUCUUUCCAAUGGCAUUUUAAAGGAGACGUUUAUCGAUUCCCAACUUUGGUUAGACUUCGACUGUGAAUCUGAUCUGAUGAGUGUUAAUGGAGGAGGAGCCGGUUGACCAUCUCUUCGUGUCUUGCCACUUCGCCUCAAGGUGUUUGGGAUCGGGUUGCAAGCUGGUGCCGUCUAACUGGGUUGUAUAUGUUUGAAAGCAAAGAUUUGGUCGGAUAUCAUUGCCAUGCGAGUGGGUCGACAAAAUGAAAAAAAAAAUGGUGUACACUAUAAUGCAGACUGGAAUGUGGAUUAUAUGGCGUUAUCGAAACAACUUAGCAUUCAACCAGAAGUUUAAUGGUUUGAGAAAUGUGUCUAAAUAGUUUACACUGUAAUGCAUUAGUUCUUACGUAAUAAAAAUUUGAUAAAUACGAUAUGAGUGUGUUGGUGGUCUGUAUCGUUGGCGUAUGUUUGGUUAAAAGAUUUUUCUGCAUUUGGGGUCUGUUGUUUCCUUAGCUGCUGGCUAAGGGACUUUUUUGGGUUUCUUUAUAAAGAGUUUUGCUUG